RNAcentral lists this microRNA precursor (84 nucleotides) under Ananas comosus (pineapple). Its description in RNAcentral is "MIR528 microRNA precursor family". It matches the Rfam family "MIR528 microRNA precursor family". Lineage: Eukaryota; Viridiplantae; Streptophyta; Magnoliopsida; Poales; Bromeliaceae. The record is from Rfam by way of RNAcentral.
GUGGAAGGGGCAUGCAGAGGAGUGGAAAUGAUCAGAUGAUGUUUCCUGGGUCUUCUUUUAACUCCUGUGCUUGCCUCUUCCACC